This 497-nucleotide ribosomal RNA is filed under the name uncultured bacterium. RNAcentral's name for it is "partial 16S ribosomal RNA". It matches the Rfam family "Bacterial small subunit ribosomal RNA", at positions 28 to 507 of the family's 1533-position model. The record is from RNAcentral.
GAUGAACGCUGGCGGCGUGCCUAAUACAUGCAAAUCGAGCGAACGGACGAGAAGCUUGCUUCUCUGAUGUUAGCGGCGGACGGGUGAGUAACACGUGGAUAACCUACCUAUAAGACUGGGAUAACUUCGGGAAACCGUAGCUAAUACCGGAUAAUAUUUUGAACCGCAUGGUUCAAAAGUGAAAGACGGUCUUGCUGUCACUUAUAGAUGGAUCCGCGCUGCAUUAUCUAGUUGGUAAGGUAACGGCUUACCAAGGCAACGAUGCAUAGCCGACCUGAGAGGGUGAUCGGCCACACUGGAACUGAGACACGGUCCAGACUCCUACGGGAGGCAGCAGUAGGGAAUCUUCCGCAAUGGGCGAAAGCCUGACGGAGCAACGCCGCGUGAGUGAUGAAGGUCUUCGGAUCGUAAAACUCUGUUAUUAGGGAAGAACAUAUGUGUAAGUAACUGUGCACAUCUUGACGGUACCUAAUCAGAAAGCCACGGCUAACUACGUG